ACACGAUCAAUUCUAGUUAAGAGUUGGUAUUGACCUUAUAUGCGGUAUCGCGUAUUUGGUUUGAAUGUAUUUAGUUGAUGAGCUUCCCAAUGAUGCUCGAUGUGUGCUAGCGAGACAGUCGUCCCGAUCUCACAUUAUGGCCUUGUUGCAGAGUUCUAUUUACGACUAUUUAAUAUUUUUAAUCAU
Molecule: unclassified non-coding RNA, 186 nt
Filed under: uncultured Rozellomycota
Lineage: Eukaryota; Fungi; Rozellomycota
Description: uncultured Cryptomycota sequence contains ITS2
Source: RNAcentral